UUUUAAUUAUUUCUUACCAUGCGUUAUAUUUUUUUGGAAGAUCUGACCUUAUCUCUUUAUUACAGUCUGCUGUAAUAUUUUCGGAUAAAAUACUAUCGGCCAAAGUAUUUUUCUGCUUAAAUAUCGUUCGGCUUAAAUACGGUUCGACUGAUUUAUUUUUGGUUGUUUUAAGCGCUCCUUUAAUUUAUCAUCUAUGAUACGUUAUCAUUAAUUUAAAAUGUAGAAUGUAGGUUAUCAAAUUGAUCCGAAUAGCCUCCAUUAAGGUUUUCUCGGGGCUCUACAUACCUAAGUUUUAUGUCAAAUAUCCUAUCUUUCGUUAUGAACCAAAAAUAACGGUUCAGACAGUAAGUUCCUAUCACUCUUACGAUAGUGAUUACCAAAUAUCAUAAAUUCAAUGUAGUGUAAUGAUUGUUUUCACGAUAGUUAUUAUCAUCGCAUGGGCUCGUGUAGUUUACGCAGGUUCUAUAUAUUUAGCGUGUUUCAAAGAAAAUAUAAACUUGUAUUAUCAUUUUUAAUCAAUAACCUAAUCGUUUUGCAUAUUUUUAAGCUGUGAGUACAUACAGGG
Cinara cedri is the source of this 565-nucleotide non-coding RNA. Lineage: Eukaryota; Metazoa; Arthropoda; Insecta; Hemiptera; Aphididae. The record is from the annotation of a GenBank genome assembly.